RNAcentral lists this ribosomal RNA (497 nucleotides) under uncultured bacterium. RNAcentral's name for it is "partial 16S ribosomal RNA". It matches the Rfam family "Bacterial small subunit ribosomal RNA", at positions 28 to 507 of the family's 1533-position model. The record is from RNAcentral.
GAUGAACGCUGGCGGCGUGCCUAAUACAUGCAAUUCGAGCGAACAGACGAGGAGCUUGCUCCUCUGACGUUAGCGGCGGACGGGGGAGUAACACGUGGAUAACCUACCUAUAAGACUGGGAUAACUUCGGGAAACCGGAGCUAAUACCGGACAAUAUAUUGAACCGCAUGGUUCAAUAGUGAAAGACGGUUUUGCUGUCACUUAUAGAUGGAUCCGCGCCGCAUUAGCUAGUUGGUAAGGUAACGGCUUACCAAGGCAACGAUGCGUAGCCGACCUGAGAGGGCGAUCGGCCACACUGGAACUGAGACACGGUCCAGACUCCUACGGGAGGCAGCAGUAGGGAAUCUUCCGCAAUGGGCGAAAGCCUGACGGAGCAACGCCGCGUGAGUGAUGAAGGUCUUCGGAUCGUAAAACUCUGUUAUUAGGGAAGAACAAAUGUGUAAGUAACUAUGCACGUCUUGACGGUACCUAAUCAGAAAGCCACGGCUAACUACGUG